ACCGCAUCUGAUCUGUCUCGAUAAUCGGUACGGCUUGGAAUGUGUGUGGCAUGUACCUACAUACUAGUAACAUAGCAUCGGCGUUUUGCAUGGAGACACCAAACCGUCGAGCAGUGUUGGCACGCCCAGCGCCAAGGAGAUUGACUUCGGCUCGGCCAAGCUUAUCGGGCGUCCGUUGAAAGGAGGCGUAGGCCUGUUCGCGGACAUGCUGCAGUUCCGUUGUCCCGAGGUGGCCCACCUACCGAGGGGCGCCGAAAAGGAGGCGUAGGCCUGUUCGCGUACAUGCUGCAGUUCCGUUGUCCCGAGGUGGCCCACCUACCGAGGGGCGCCAUGCAUUCGGCCGUCAGCAACAGAUAAGCACAAGCACACUAUCAAGCUGCAUCAACGCUGACCAUGUUGACUGAGUGCAGAUCGAUGUAGCCAACGCUAGCGCAGCUGAGCUGCUCAGGUGGUAAAGUCCAGUGCUAGUUCGAGGAGAUGGGUGUCGAUUCCAGUGACGAUCCGGUGACAUCCAAUCAGUCAAUUAGGCGCCAACCGUCUUCGCAAUUGACUGCUGGUUUGCGCUUCCUUAUCUCGAUAGCUUCAAGCUGUUGCCUUGAUGGUAGCGAAGCCUCCCUGCCGAGAAUCUUCGCCUGGUGGAAGGGCAGAAAGUUGGAAGACUUUGAAGAUUCUCGAUGCUGGGUACAAUAGUGGAAGCCCCAGGGAGCCUUCGCCACCCGAUCGCCCUUGCCUCUCGGUAGUGCUCAGCGAAUCGGUCCCUCACCGGCCGCUCGGUCUCACCAACGUACAAUUCCGCACACAACGUGCAAGACAUACAAUAGACAACACCUUUGACUGAACACUGAUCCAGUAUCCACCAUACUCGCAUCACAUGCACGACACUCCAUUGGCCGACCUCUCCCUCUCUUCACCUCCGAUCGCUGCUUCUCACGGGCGUGUAUAAACCUUGGAAUUUCCUACCUAGAUGUCAUCUCGAAUGCAGAUGUAUAUGCUGCUACUGGCCAGUGCUCUGUAACUGAAAUGGCCACAUACAUGUAGAAACCUUGGAAUAACCUGCCCAGAUGUCAUCUCGAAUGCAGAUUUAUAUUAUGCUGUUCACUGACUAGCCAGUGCUCUGUAUCUGAAAUGGCCAAGCGGGACAGGUGGAAGCUAUUAGGACAUGUAUUACGCCAGCCAAGUGAUAUCCCUGCAAAUGUUGCUCUCACUGCACAGGAACUCUCGUCCACUCGUCAACCAACCCCGUUUAAAAGAUUGCUAAAAGUGUUUUUCUAAUAUGGCCGAAUAGCACCUCCCUCUGGUAUAGGUCCUCAUCUUCCUAUUUCUCCCUGAUUGUUACUUCGUUCGAACUUGACUUGUAAUUACCGGUACCAAGAGUACAUAACCCCCAUAUGUACUCUUGCCGGUACAAAUACUUCCUAUUGACUGUUUUCUCAUUUUCUCAAGUGCAGCUUUAUCGAGCCACACUUUUUAUUCUAUCGCCAUCAUAAUAUUGGGCAUCAAUGCCCGUUUGGUUUGCGAUGUAAAAUAAAACUUCAAACAAUCAAACAAACUGCUUUCUGUACAUAUGCUACCAGUCAGCCCUUUCGAAUAGGCGCACCCCGCUCUUGCCUCACCACAAGUCUCCAGCGAGACGUCCGCCUCGCACCUAUCUGCAUUUUUAAGCCCAGCUGCCUUCGUGAUCUCGGCAGCUAUGCCCGCGACAGAAAACAAUGGAGUAACGACUGCUCAGCCAUUUACUACUGCUCUUUAUUACAAAAUUGCAAGGCUCUUCUUUUCUUUUUCAUUUCCGGUUCUCCCACUCUCACACACGUACACACACAUGCUCUGCCGUCGUGAGUCCCAUUCGGGACGGAUACGAGAAUAAA
Sycon ciliatum is the source of this 1865-nucleotide long non-coding RNA. RefSeq lists it as uncharacterized. The record is from RefSeq and is a predicted model, not a curated record. The transcript is spliced from 3 exons. NCBI's taxonomy places the organism in Eukaryota, Metazoa, Porifera, Calcarea, Leucosolenida, Sycettidae.